Cercocebus atys (sooty mangabey) is the source of this 107-nucleotide small nuclear RNA. Lineage: Eukaryota; Metazoa; Chordata; Mammalia; Primates; Cercopithecidae. The record is from Ensembl.
GUGCUCGCUUUGGCAGCACAUAUACUAAAAUUGGAAUGAUGCAGAGAAGAUUAGCAUGUCCCCUGUGCAAGGAUGACACCCAAAUUUGUGAAACCUUCUGUAUUUAA